UGGACUGAAGAGGUCACCGUCAGCCGCUAUCCCCGUUCUCCACUUUACUUCCUAGGUCUCGUCCUUGGCACAUGUGCCUUGGUCGGUCCUGCAUCAAAAUGAAGAUCAUUACCAUCACCAUCACCCUUGCUCUUUUGAGUGCAGUUCUCCAUGGAGGCAAUGGACUGAGGUGUUUCAAGGAAACCUGCAAGAAAGGUGAUCCUUAAAAAAUAGAAGAGGAGAUCUGUGAUCAGGAAAAGCCACAGUGCUAACUAUGAGGAUCUGAAGAAGAAUUAAAAGAUCCCAACCAGAGCACGAUUACCAAAGGUUGCGUCAAAAAUGGGCAUGAUGAUCCCUUGCUGAAGGUGAUGAUGAUGGCUUUCGUGCCUAACUGGAAGGUACACUGCUGUAAGGAGGACCUGUGCAACGGUGCCAAGCAUGUGGGAGGAAGUAUCCUGCUUCUGUUGGGGUCUGUCGUCUCCGUCCUGCUCGUCUACUUCCACUGAAGUCCCUCACAGGAUCUCCCAGCAACACCUGCCCUCCUCUGUCUAGUCAUGAAGGGUUGGAUUGUCAGGCCCCUACUUUUCUUGUAUUCCUUUGUGUUUAUGACAGCACUACUG
Molecule: long non-coding RNA, 599 nt
Organism: Engraulis encrasicolus (European anchovy)
Lineage: Eukaryota; Metazoa; Chordata; Actinopteri; Clupeiformes; Engraulidae
Exons: 3
Source: RefSeq, a predicted model, not a curated record